Molecule: long non-coding RNA, 320 nt
Organism: Photinus pyralis (common eastern firefly)
Lineage: Eukaryota; Metazoa; Arthropoda; Insecta; Coleoptera; Lampyridae
Exons: 3
Source: RefSeq, a predicted model, not a curated record
GCAGUCGUAUUGCGUAUGCGAUAUAAUUUAAAUUAUUUGUCGUCAAUUGACGGAUCAAUUGUUUCAUUUAAUUAAGUAUUAGUCUGACUUCUGAGCAAGCGUACCAGUUUUUUUAUAAUUUGAAUAUUGUCACUAGUGGAAAUUUUUCCACAAGACGAAAUAGGGUUGAACAUAAACCCUAUUUCCCGAUUUUCUUAUUUCGAUAUAAAAAAAAUAUCGAAAGUAACGGUCAGAAGUCAGAACUACUAUCUCCCAGUCAGGAGCCUACAUUAUUGCCAUCUAUUAGCAUCCCUCCAAUCUGGAUGUACAUCUUUUAUAGC